CUCUGUCACUGAAGGAAAUUCUGUUUCCUUGUUAUGGUUUGUUCUUACACCGGCUUUAACUGUGUUAUCUGAAAUAUGCAGCAGAUAGAUUGCUUGGCAGCUCACGUAUUCCAGCAUCAUCCCAGGACUGAUGGCAACCUGUGCUACCAUGUGUAUUUGGUUUCCUGCUUUGUGGGAGUCAGUGUUUGUCUCCUUCUUCAGGCUGCUGGAACCUGAUGUGUGGAGCAGAAAUGGUCUUUGAUAACUGCCUGUGUUGCUUUUUGUAGAGUACACGUUGUUAUGUUGACCAGAUUUGGAAACCCUGAAGUACUCUUUGAAUGCAGUGAUGCCUGAAUACUAUUCAUAGGUGAAGAUUAAGGGAGGCGUGUUUAUUUCUCAAUUAAUUUGUUAAUAAGGCUCCAAAAUGAAGAUGGUGUAACAACGCUUAGGAUCUCUGGGCCCAGCUUUGUAUCGCUCAGGGGAGACAUCAAUUCAGUGGGUUGUGUUGUGGGGAUUCUAAUCUGCCCUGCACCCUGUUAUGGCUGUUCCAGGGAUUCAUUAGGGGGAGCACUUGGAGUUUUGCGGCUGUCAGAUUCACCAGGAGUUGAAAGUAUGAGCAUCCCCAGUGAAUUCAGCAGAGUGGGAUCUCAUGGCAGCACGUGGGGCUGGAGUCAUUGGAAAAAAGUUUGGAAUCUCUGUGUUUAAUCUCCUUCCAAGUGAAAGGAUCGCUUGGCCUCCUGCUGCAUUCUUCUCUGCAGUGUGGUUCAAGAAAAUCACUGUCUUCUAGGGUGGAGGGGGAAGCUCCAGAGAUUGUGGAAAAUAACAUAAAACUGUGCUUAAGCCAAGUUAAGUCUGAAGAAGCCUAAUUAGGGUUGUAUACAGCAUACAUGGGAGGGAGAGUGUUCAUGUUCAGGAAAGAAAACAGGAUGCCUCUGCCACAAAUGAAUGAUCAGCAAAUAAUCUGGUUUGAUGGCAGUUAUGCUUCAAACUGAGAAACACGUAGGUAAUUAUUUUUACUGUUUUACUGCAGUCCUGCUCCAAUGAAUAGCACAAAGGUUAAAUAUAUGUCUGAGCAUUUGCAGAAUCCUAGGCUUCAUCUGAGCAUGUUGAUUCCUUAAAGUUACAAAGAUAAGUGGAUGUACAGAGAGCUGGAAAACAGUGGGUUGGUGCAGAGUGAGGAGCAGGUGCUUUUUAAGAAGCAGCGUUCAGGUCAGAGUUCUCAAGUCCUAAGAACGUUCCGCUCCCUAAUUUUAGUAAUGCCAAGCAGUGUCAGCAGGCUGUCCGUUUGUACCCAGGUUACAGAGAAUUUCUCAUUUUCCUAGACAGCAAAACUGAAGGGAGCGCUUCAGCUGAUUCUGACACCUUCAAACCUGGGAGUCAGCAUGGGAAGCGUUGGGUCUGAUUGGGCUGCAGGUUUGGCACCAAGAUUUGUUGCAUCACAAGAAUUGCUGACAGUGCCAGGUUGAAGGAGGAAGACCUCGCUUGU
This is a long non-coding RNA of Lagopus leucura (white-tailed ptarmigan), 1465 nucleotides long. RefSeq lists it as uncharacterized. The record is from RefSeq and is a predicted model, not a curated record. NCBI's taxonomy places the organism in Eukaryota, Metazoa, Chordata, Aves, Galliformes, Phasianidae. The transcript is spliced from 4 exons.